UACGGGGGGAGCAAGCGUUGUUCGGAUUUACUGGGCGUAAAGGGCGCGUAGGCGGCUUGUCAAGUCACUUGUGAAAUCUCUGGGCUUAACCCAGAACGGCCAAGUGAAACUGACAUGCUAGAGUGCAGAAGGGGCAAUCGGAAUUCUUGGUGUAGCGGUGAAAUGCGUAGAUAUCUAGAGGAACGCCAAAGGUGAAGACAGGCGACUGGUUUGCAACUGACGCUCAUGGACGAAAGCGUGGGGAUCAAACGGG
RNAcentral lists this ribosomal RNA (253 nucleotides) under uncultured bacterium. RNAcentral's name for it is "partial 16S ribosomal RNA". It matches the Rfam family "Bacterial small subunit ribosomal RNA", at positions 524 to 776 of the family's 1533-position model. The record is from RNAcentral.